This 277-nucleotide ribosomal RNA is filed under the name uncultured bacterium. RNAcentral describes it as "partial 16S ribosomal RNA". It matches the Rfam family "Bacterial small subunit ribosomal RNA", at positions 30 to 301 of the family's 1533-position model. The record is from RNAcentral.
AUUGAACGCUGGCGGCGUGCUUAACACAUGCAAGUCGUGCGGUAACAGGCGUAGCAAUACGUGCUGACGAGCGGCGAACGGGUGCGUAAUACAUGGGAAUCUGCCUUUUAGUGGGGAAUAACCCGGCGAAAGCCGGGCUAAUGCCGCAUAAGAUCUUCGGAUGAAAGCGGGGAGUCGUAAGACCUCGCGCUGAUAGAUGAGCCCACUGCCGGAUUAGUCAGUUGGUUGGAGGUAACGGACUCACCAAGGCGACGAUCCGUAGCUGGUCUGAGAGGAC